Molecule: regulatory RNA element, 124 nt
Organism: Burkholderia sp.
Lineage: Bacteria; Pseudomonadati; Pseudomonadota; Betaproteobacteria; Burkholderiales; Burkholderiaceae
Rfam family: TPP riboswitch aptamer (THI element)
About the family: Vitamin B(1) in its active form thiamin pyrophosphate (TPP) is an essential coenzyme that is synthesised by coupling of pyrimidine and thiazole moieties in bacteria. The previously detected thiamin-regulatory element, thi box was extended, resulting in a new, highly conserved RNA secondary structure, the THI element, which is widely distributed in eubacteria and also occurs in some archaea. Analysis of operon structures identified a large number of new candidate thiamin-regulated genes, mostly transporters, in various prokaryotic organisms.
Source: Rfam
UCGACGAAACAGGGGUGCUUCGCCCACAGGCGGCGUGAUUUUCACACCGCGGCGGCGAGGCUGAGAGAGACCCUUUGCACCCGAUCCGGGUAAUACCGGCGCGGGAAGUUUCCGGAAGCAGCCA